RNAcentral lists this ribosomal RNA (434 nucleotides) under Fusobacterium necrophorum. RNAcentral's name for it is "bacterial SSU rRNA". It matches the Rfam family "Bacterial small subunit ribosomal RNA", at positions 9 to 451 of the family's 1533-position model. The record is from RNAcentral. Lineage: Bacteria; Fusobacteriati; Fusobacteriota; Fusobacteriia; Fusobacteriales; Fusobacteriaceae.
GAGUUUGAUCCUGGCUCAGGAUGAACGCUGACAGAAUGCUUAACACAUGCAAGUCGACUCGAGUCUUCGGACUUGGGUGGCGCACGGGUGAGUAACGCGUAAAGAACUUGCCUCUUAGACCGGGACAACAUCUGGAAACGGAUGCUAAUACCGGAUAUUAUGGUUUUUUCGCAUGGAGGAAUCAUGAAAGCUAGAUGCGCUAAGAGAGAGCUUUGCGUCCCAUUAGCUAGUUGGUGAGGUAACGGCCCACCAAGGCAAUGAUGGGUAGCCGGCCUGAGAGGGUGAACGGCCACAAGGGGACUGAGACACGGCCCUUACUCCUACGGGAGGCAGCAGUGGGGAAUAUUGGACAAUGGACCGCAAGUCUGAUCCAGCAAUUCUGUGUGCACGAUGACGUUUUUCGGAAUGUAAAGUGCUUUCAGUCGGGAAGAAGU